This 1378-nucleotide unclassified non-coding RNA is filed under the name Hevea brasiliensis (rubber tree). The record is from RNAcentral. Lineage: Eukaryota; Viridiplantae; Streptophyta; Magnoliopsida; Malpighiales; Euphorbiaceae.
GCAAAGUAUCUCCAUUCAAUUUUCUCCAAGAGAACUCAUUUUUAUUAUCAGUCACACGACUUACAUCUGUGAAAACGGCUCACAUAGCACACCAAAACAACAAGAGAGAGAAAACAAGCUUUAAUUAAACAAAAAGCACAAGCAGCAGAAAUCAAUGGAUUUGAACCUCCUUCAAAUCCUUUUUAGGCUGUUCAGUCCUGGGAAUGGUAAUAUGGAGAACCCCAUUCUUCAACUCGGCUUUAAUAUCAUCAACUUUAGCAUCAUCAGGCAGCAAAACACCGGUGUUAUAGUAUCCAUAGCUCCUCAUUGACCACUGCUCGUCGUCAGAUGCUUCUUCUUCUUCUUCCUUGUGCUCUCCCUUUAUUGUCAGGACCCCAUCAUCAAUGGUGAUUUUCAAGUCCUCUUUGGAUAGUCCAGGAACCUCGUAUCUCAGUUUGUAGCAAUCAUCUUUCUCUUUAAAACGGUCCAUUAGGUUUGCGGGUGACAAGUUUAGGUUUUCGAAUAGCCUGUUGAUGUUCUCUGUCGCUUGCAACAGUGCAUUUCCUAACCCUGAGGGGAAGAACUCUAUGCAUGGAUCAACAUUAAAUCAGUUAGAAAAAGGACUUCAGAACCACUACAACAAAACUAUUUAUCGAUUAAUAUUAUAGUUAUGUAGUUGUUAGUGUUAAACUCGGGACCUUAUAACUCUGAAAACAACUAAUAGAGUUCAAUUACCAUAUAGCUGUGGAACGAAUUCUCGUCCAUUGCUCCUCCACAGACCCCUCCGGCCUCUCCUCCUAGGAAAUAGUUUAGACUUCUUAUUGCCCUCACUUACAGCAACUUCUUUACCAUCAGAAGUCUCACCAGCUGUUGUCAUAAACCUCUUCAACAAUUCAUCAUUCCACCUUUGCCUUGGCACAUCAACACCACUCCUCUGAGUAACCAAAGAAGUUGAGGAGCCAAGCCUUUGAGACAAAUUCCUCAAAGCCAGACGUGCCAAAGCCAUUCUUAGAACUUGGAACUGCUCAAAAACUCAAAGAAAUUGAAAGGAAAGAAAAGAUGGGUUUGAUUAUUUUCUAUUGAUGUUGGAAGGUGAUUUAAAGAGAGCUGUUUUGGCAGUGGGUGCAAUGGGCUGGACAGUUGGAGAAGGGUCUAAGAGUUUCUGGGAGGUGGUAGCACGUCAGCAGACAGGAUUUACAUGUAAGCAAAGGAUGGUUCUUGGCCUUUCUUUCAUAUGCCAGUAGCGUUCCAGAGGAGAAGCAUGAAUCUGAUGCCACGUUUUUCACCUCUUUCCCCUUAAUUAAUUUGUCACAUAUUGCUAGAAGUCAAUAUAAAUAUGUUCUUAGGAGAAAAAUUAUUCCACUUCCUUUUUUUAUAUUUUAUUAUUAUUAUUAUUAUU